Molecule: ribosomal RNA, 494 nt
Filed under: uncultured bacterium
Lineage: Bacteria
Description: bacterial SSU rRNA
Rfam family: Bacterial small subunit ribosomal RNA
Source: RNAcentral
ACGAACGCUGGCGGCGUGCCUAAUACGUGCAAGUAGAACGCUGAAGGAGGAGCUUGCUUCUCCGGAUGAGUUGCGAACGGGUGAGUAACGCGUAGGUAACCUGCCUGGUAGCGGGGGAUAACUAUUGGAAACGAUAGCUAAUACCGCAUAAGAGUAGAUGUUGCAUGACAUUUGCUUGAAAGGUGCAAUUGCACCACUACCAGAUGGACCUGCGUUGUAUUAGCUAGUUGGUGGGGUAACGGCUCACCAAGGCGACGAUACAUAGCCGACCUGAGAGGGUGAUCGGCCACACUGGGACUGAGACACGGCCCAGACUCCUACGGGAGGCAGCAGUAGGGAAUCUUCGGCAAUGGACGGAAGUCUGACCGAGCAACGCCGCGUGAGUGAAGAAGGUUUUCGGAUCGUAAAGCUCUGUUGUAAGAGAAGAACGAGUGUGAGAGUGGAAAGUUCACACUGUGACGGUAUCUUACCAGAAAGGGACGGCUAACUACGUG